CCUACGGGAGGCAGCAGUGGGGAAUAUUGGACAAUGGGCGAAAGCCUGAUCCAGCAAUGCCGCGUGAGUGAUGAAGGCCUUAGGGUUGUAAAGCUCCUUUACCAGGGAUGAUAAUGACAGUACCUGGAGAAUAAGCUCCGGCUAACUCCGUGCCAGCAGCCGCGGUAAUACGGAGGGAGCUAGCGUUGUUCGGAAUUACUGGGCGUAAAGCGUACGUAGGCGGUUAUUCAAGUCAGAGGUGAAAGCCUGGAGCUCAACUCCAGAACUGCCUUUGAAACUAGAUAGCUAGAAUCUUGGAGAGGUGAGUGGAAUUCCCGAGUGUAGAGGUGAAAAUUCCGUAGAUAUUCGGAAGAACACCAGUGGCGAG
This 367-nucleotide ribosomal RNA is filed under the name uncultured bacterium. RNAcentral describes it as "bacterial SSU rRNA". It matches the Rfam family "Bacterial small subunit ribosomal RNA", at positions 338 to 719 of the family's 1533-position model. The record is from RNAcentral.